UCAGAAAUAGUUUAUUUAAAAUAUUAAUUUUGGAGAUUAAAGAUAAUUUUAAUUUUUCUGAA
This 62-nucleotide transfer RNA is filed under the name Pediacus ater. RNAcentral's name for it is "tRNA-Pro". Lineage: Eukaryota; Metazoa; Arthropoda; Insecta; Coleoptera; Cucujidae. The record is from RNAcentral.